CCUACGGGCGGCUGCAGUGGGGAAUAUUGCACAAUGGGCGCAAGCCUGAUGCAGCCAUGCCGCGUGUGUGAAGAAGGCCUUCGGGUUGUAAAGCACUUUCAGCGGGGAGGAAGGCGGUGAGGUUAAUAACCUCAUCGAUUGACGUUACCCGCAGAAGGAGCACCGGCUAACUCCGUGCCAGCAGCCGCGGUAAUACGGAGGGUGCAAGCGUUAAUCGGAAUUACUGGGCGUAAAGCGCACGCAGGCGGUCUGUCACAGUCGGAUGUGAAAUCCCCGGGCUCAACCUGGGAACUGCAUUCGAAACUGGCAGGCUAGAGUCUUGUAGAGGGGGGUAGAAUUCCAGGUGUAGCGGUGAAAUGCGUAGAGAUCUGGAGGAAUACCGGUGGCGGAGGCGGCCCCCUGGACAAAGACUGACGCUCAGGUGCGAAAGAGUGGGGAGCAAACAGGAUUAUACCCCUGUAGUC
Molecule: ribosomal RNA, 464 nt
Filed under: uncultured Klebsiella sp.
Lineage: Bacteria; Pseudomonadati; Pseudomonadota; Gammaproteobacteria; Enterobacterales; Enterobacteriaceae
Description: bacterial SSU rRNA
Rfam family: Bacterial small subunit ribosomal RNA
Source: RNAcentral